CAGCAGCCACGGUAAUACGAAGGGGGCUAGCGUUGCUCGGAAUUACUGGGCGUAAAGGGAGCGUAGGCGGACAUUUAAGUCAGGGGUGAAAUCCCAGAGCUCAACUCUGGAACUGCCUUUGAUACUGGGUGUCUUGAGUGUGAUAGAGGUAUGUGGAACUCCGAGUGUAGAGGUGAAAUUCGUAGAUAUUCGGAAGAACACCAGUGGCGAAGGCGACAUACUGGAUCAUUACUGACGCUGAGGCUCGAAAGCGUGGGGAGCAAACAGGAUUAGAUACCCCCGUAUCCCUGUCUCUUAUACA
This 301-nucleotide ribosomal RNA is filed under the name uncultured bacterium. Its description in RNAcentral is "partial 16S ribosomal RNA". It matches the Rfam family "Bacterial small subunit ribosomal RNA", at positions 509 to 809 of the family's 1533-position model. The record is from RNAcentral.